RNAcentral lists this transfer RNA (76 nucleotides) under Oceanospirillum linum. RNAcentral's name for it is "tRNA-Thr". It matches the Rfam family "tRNA". From Rfam's summary of the family: Transfer RNA (tRNA) molecules are approximately 80 nucleotides in length. Their secondary structure includes four short double-helical elements and three loops (D, anti-codon, and T loops). Further hydrogen bonds mediate the characteristic L-shaped molecular structure. tRNAs have two regions of fundamental functional importance: the anti-codon, which is responsible for specific mRNA codon recognition, and the 3' end, to which the tRNAs corresponding amino acid is attached (by aminoacyl-tRNA synthetases). tRNAs cope with the degeneracy of the genetic code in two manners: having more than one tRNA (with a specific anti-codon) for a particular amino acid; and 'wobble' base-pairing, i.e. permitting non-standard base-pairing at the 3rd anti-codon position. The record is from RNAcentral. Lineage: Bacteria; Pseudomonadati; Pseudomonadota; Gammaproteobacteria; Oceanospirillales; Oceanospirillaceae. RNAcentral also lists the same sequence under 7 other names.
GCCGGUAUAGCUCAGUCGGUAGAGCAACUGACUUGUAAUCAGUAGGUCCCGGGUUCGACUCCUGGUGCCGGCACCA